This 69-nucleotide transfer RNA is filed under the name Ictidomys tridecemlineatus (thirteen-lined ground squirrel). Its description in RNAcentral is "Spermophilus tridecemlineatus (thirteen-lined ground squirrel) tRNA". It matches the Rfam family "tRNA". Rfam says of the family: Transfer RNA (tRNA) molecules are approximately 80 nucleotides in length. Their secondary structure includes four short double-helical elements and three loops (D, anti-codon, and T loops). The record is from Rfam by way of RNAcentral. Lineage: Eukaryota; Metazoa; Chordata; Mammalia; Rodentia; Sciuridae.
GGGGUUGUGGCUCAGUGGUAGAGCGCUCACCUAGCAUGUGUGAAGCACUGGGUUCAAUUCUCAGCACCA